This is a long non-coding RNA of Dromiciops gliroides (monito del monte), 492 nucleotides long. RefSeq lists it as uncharacterized. The record is from RefSeq and is a predicted model, not a curated record. NCBI's taxonomy places the organism in Eukaryota, Metazoa, Chordata, Mammalia, Microbiotheria, Microbiotheriidae. The transcript has 3 exons.
GAGUUCAAUCAGAAGAGAAGGGCCAGGACUGGUGAUUCCACCCUCAUCCCCUGCCUUCCCAUUCCUGUUGCAGCAGUGAAAUCCAAGUGUGGUUUGCAGAAGAGGAUGACCCCUGGAUGCAGAGCCCAUUGUAAUGAACAGGCAAUUGGAGAUUUCUCAUCUCCUUUGUGAAAAAAGUUUCUAAAGGUCAGGGAAUACGAAACUAUGUCAUAUAAGGAUGAAUCAAAGAGACUGGGACACAUUUACCUGGGAGAUGCGAAGAUAGGAAAGCUGUCUUCAACCAUCUGAAGGGCUGUCAUCUGGAAGACAUAUUAGAUUUAUGUGGCUCCAGAAGAAAGAACCAGGAUCAAUAGAUAGAAGUUACAGGGAAGAAGAAUUUUGGAUCAAUAUAAGGAAGAACCUCCAAAUAAUUAGAACUGUCAGAAAUUGGAAUGAAUUGUCUCAGGAGGUAGUGAAUUCCCUAUCACUGAAGCUGUUGAGGCAGAUGAUGGA